RNAcentral lists this ribosomal RNA (212 nucleotides) under Clostridium intestinale URNW. Its description in RNAcentral is "partial 23S ribosomal RNA". It matches the Rfam family "Bacterial large subunit ribosomal RNA", at positions 1 to 213 of the family's 2925-position model. The record is from RNAcentral. Lineage: Bacteria; Bacillati; Bacillota; Clostridia; Eubacteriales; Clostridiaceae.
GGUCAAGAUAUAAAGGGCGUAUGGUGAAUGCCUUGGCAUCGGGAGCCGAAGAAGGACGCGAUAAGCUGCGAAAAGCUCUGGGUAGGCGCAAAUAGCCUGUGAUCCAGAGAUCUCCGAAUGAGGAAACUCACAUGGGAAACCCCAUGUAUCCAUAAGUGAAUACAUAGCUUAUGGAGGGUAAACUCAGGGAACUGAAACAUCUAAGUACCUGA